CGUAGUAAUUUUAUUUGUUGGUGUAUAUUUGAUAAUUCUUUCGAUUUUUAUAUUUAUUAUAUUUUAUUUAUUGAAGUGAAUGUGUCUAAAUAAAUGUCGCGUUUUUAUAUGUGGGUUCAUCAGUGUAAUACAGCUAUUUCUGUGUCAUUAUAAUAUAUAAAUAGUUUUACAAAAUGGCCGCCGAUUGUAAAUAAAAAGGUGAUCCAAUAGUGUUGAGGAAGACUGCAAAUUAGUUUUUAUGAAAUAUUUUGUAUGUAAUUUAAUAAAAGUAUAGUAUUGAUUUAAAA
This is a long non-coding RNA of Diorhabda carinulata, 287 nucleotides long. RefSeq lists it as uncharacterized. The transcript has 2 exons. NCBI's taxonomy places the organism in Eukaryota, Metazoa, Arthropoda, Insecta, Coleoptera, Chrysomelidae. The record is from RefSeq and is a predicted model, not a curated record.